Molecule: long non-coding RNA, 834 nt
Filed under: Physcomitrium patens
Lineage: Eukaryota; Viridiplantae; Streptophyta; Bryopsida; Funariales; Funariaceae
Description: long non-coding RNA (PPAT_LNC000043)
Source: RNAcentral
CUAAAGACUCGAGAUUUAGGGUUUUGAGGACUAAUAAGGUUUUCUUAGAUAUCUAGCAAUCUACAAGUUGGAUUGGAGAGAUUUUUGAUUUUAUCAGUAGAAGAUUAGAUUUCUUAUAUGCAAGAAAAAUUUGGAAGUAAUCAAACAAUUGAAAAGGGAGAUAUCAACGCUCGAAGUUGGCAUUAAGAUAAGAGAAGGAAAGACCAAUCGACAUCCGAGCCAAAUUUUGAGGUCAUUGACUAAUUGGUAAGUGCGAUUUUCUUCAAAAUUUGUAUGCUAGUUUUUAACUUAAAUUCCAAGAAGUGUGCAAAUUUUGAAUUAGAAUCAAUGAUUCAAUCUUUAGUUAUUUAAUAUUCAAAUUUGUAAUUAAGAUUUGGUUUGGAUUAGGAUUUGUUUAGGGUUUAGGAUUAGGGUUUGGUUAGGAUUUGAUUUAGGAUUUAGGGUUUGUUAGGGUUAGAGUAUGGUAGAGAUUUGGUUUAGGAUUUAGGAUUUAGGAUUUGAUUUAGGAUUUGAUUUAGGAUUUGAUUUAGGAUUUAGAGUUUAGAUUAGGAUCUAGAUUAGGGUUUGUGUUAGGAUUUAGGAUUUGGUUUAGGAUUUGAUUAGGAAUUAGUUUAAGGUUUAGGUUUUGAUUAAGGUUUAAUUAGGGUUUGGUUUAGGAUUUAGGGUUUUUCUAGGAUUUGAUUAAGAUUGGAUUAGAAUUAAAGGUUGGUUAGAAUUUAAGGUUUUAUUAGAUUUUUGUUAGGGUUUGAUUAAGUUUUCUUUAAUAUUCUUUUAUAUUUCAUUAGGAUUUUCUUGUGUUUCUUUUAUAACUUUAAUAAAAUUUAAUUGAACUUG